Molecule: transfer RNA, 80 nt
Filed under: Limnoglobus roseus
Lineage: Bacteria; Pseudomonadati; Planctomycetota; Planctomycetia; Gemmatales; Gemmataceae
Description: tRNA-His
Source: RNAcentral
CCGGCGGCUCGUUCGGGGCCGGGCACUACGCCCUCUGUGGGAAGGCGUUCGACCCGCGGUUCCUCUUCGCGUGGCCGACC